UACGGAGGAUGCAAGCGUUAUCCGGAUUCAUUGGGUUUAAAGGGUGCGUAGGCGGACUAUUAAGUCAGUGGUGAAAGCCUGCAGCUUAACUGCAGAACUGCCAUUGAUACUGAUAGUCUUGAGUUUGGUUAAGGUAGGCGGAAUGUGUAAUGUAGCGGUGAAAUGCUUAGAUAUUACACAGAACACCAAUUGCGUAGGCAGCUUACUGAGCCGACACUGACGCUGAGGUACGAAAGCGUGGGGAUCGAACAGGA
This 254-nucleotide ribosomal RNA is filed under the name uncultured prokaryote. RNAcentral's name for it is "partial 16S ribosomal RNA". It matches the Rfam family "Bacterial small subunit ribosomal RNA", at positions 524 to 777 of the family's 1533-position model. The record is from RNAcentral.